AUUUAAAGGCGUAGGGUACAGAGGUAAGAUGUUCUAUCUUUCAGACCUUUUAUUUCACGUAGUUGAAUAGGCUUUAUAGCUGCCCCGGUAGAAAUCUACCGGGGCUUUUUUUA
Molecule: non-coding RNA, 113 nt
Filed under: Celerinatantimonas diazotrophica
Lineage: Bacteria; Pseudomonadati; Pseudomonadota; Gammaproteobacteria; Celerinatantimonadaceae
Source: RNAcentral